Non-coding RNA from Cinara cedri, 206 nucleotides. The record is from the annotation of a GenBank genome assembly. Lineage: Eukaryota; Metazoa; Arthropoda; Insecta; Hemiptera; Aphididae.
GUUGUAUUGAAUGGAUUAUUUUUUAAUAUUUCUCGUAGUUUACUUAAAAAUCCAGUGAAAAAACACUCAAGCAAACGGGAAUAUUUGUGCAAUAACAAUAUCUUUUAUUUUUAAUUUUGGUUUUUAGUUGCAAGUAAAACAGUAAAAAUAAUAACCAUAACGUGGUUAAAUUUUCUGAAAAUUCUUGUUGAGUUAUUUAUAGCAUU